UACGAAGGGACCUAGCGUAGUUCGGAAUUACUGGGCGUAAAGCGCGCGUAGGCGGUUAAGUAAGUUAAUUGUGAAAUCCCAAAGCUUAACUUUGGAACUGCAAUUAAAACUAUUUAGCUAGAGUUUGAUAGAGGAAAGCGGAAUACAUAGUGUAGAGGUGAAAUUCGUAGAUAUUAUGUAGAACACCAGUUGCGAAGGCGGCUUUCUGGAUCAUUACUGACGCUGAGGUGCGAAAGUAUGGGUAGCGAAGAGG
This 253-nucleotide ribosomal RNA is filed under the name uncultured Pelagibacterales bacterium. RNAcentral describes it as "partial 16S ribosomal RNA". It matches the Rfam family "Bacterial small subunit ribosomal RNA", at positions 524 to 776 of the family's 1533-position model. Lineage: Bacteria; Pseudomonadati; Pseudomonadota; Alphaproteobacteria; Candidatus Pelagibacterales. The record is from RNAcentral.